UCUUCAGUACACGGCCGUGGAUGUACACGGCCCAUGUGCUGCACACGUGAUGCCAAAAUUAAUGGACGGCGUUAGUGGAUAGGAGUUGGUGAACAAGAAAAAUGCGGAAGACCAAAAACUGAGAAAGGCAGUAAAUCAAACAAAGUCUAACCAUAACCAAAUGCUCAUCCAUACACCUUCGAAUUCGAUCUGGACGCUCUCUCUCCAAGAACAACAGUCAUUCGCCUUCGACCCUCUCUCCCACUCCAGAAUCCUCAAGCGCUCUCCACUUCUCGGGCAUCAACCUUCUUCUCGGCUCUCUCUCCUCCCCAACUUCAUCGUCGUCGGCGGAGUUCCCGACUCCGAUUCGUGGAAGCUCGGUCCUCCUCUCCCUCUCGCUAACCCCGACAACCCCAAUAUCAUAUAAAGGUUCCAAGUCGAUCAUCGGCGUUAGUUUUGUAUUGAAACCGUACAAUUCAAUCUCACAAUUUAAUUGAAAUUGGGGGUUUCGAAUUUGCAGUUGACUCCGGACGACUCCGACAUAGUAGUGAAGCCGAUUGAAGGAUUCGUCGUGUUGGUGACGGUCAGUUGGUUGGUGAAGAUGUAGCAUGUCUCUUAAUGUAUUAUCAUUUUGGAAUUUAGUUACAGACCAGUGUAUAGCAAAUCUACAAAUGACCACAUCAAAGAUCAGGCAGUAGCCCCAGGUGCUUUGUCUUGAAAGCCAACAAAGAUCCAGCCGACAACUUUUAGUCCUCUCCGAUUGCAGUCGUUCUUUCCUUAUUAAUGGCAUAUUCUACUUAAGAAACAUCUGGGUUUUACAUGCUGGUCUUCUGGAUAAUCAAAAAAAUUUCACAAUUGUAAUAUAUUUGGAAUCAAGAUCAGUUUUUUCUUUAUUAAUGUCAUUUUACCAUUUGCAAUCAUUGAAUGUAAAAUUGUAAAUUAGUUUUCCCUCGUUGAAUUGUAGCAGCAGAUUGGUUCA
Molecule: long non-coding RNA, 958 nt
Organism: Rosa rugosa (rugosa rose)
Lineage: Eukaryota; Viridiplantae; Streptophyta; Magnoliopsida; Rosales; Rosaceae
Exons: 2
Source: RefSeq, a predicted model, not a curated record